Molecule: non-coding RNA, 64 nt
Organism: Opisthocomus hoazin
Lineage: Eukaryota; Metazoa; Chordata; Aves; Opisthocomiformes; Opisthocomidae
Source: Rfam
CAAAAGGCUUUUUUAUGGAUUGUUGUAAUGUUUAAAAGCCAUCAAUUAAAAAUAAAUACUAUUU